RNAcentral lists this non-coding RNA (21 nucleotides) under Arabidopsis thaliana (thale cress). Lineage: Eukaryota; Viridiplantae; Streptophyta; Magnoliopsida; Brassicales; Brassicaceae. The record is from RNAcentral.
UUCAUAUCUCGGGGCGAUCUC